UUUAACUGAAGAGUUUGAUCAUGGCUCAGAUUGAACGCUGGCGGCAGGCUUAACACAUGCAAGUCGAGCGGGGGAAGGUAGCUUGCUACUGGACCUAGCGGCGGACGGGUGAGUAAUGCUUAGGAAUCUGCCUAUUAGUGGGGGACAACAUCUCGAAAGGGAUGCUAAUACCGCAUACGUCCUACGGGAGAAAGCAGGGGAUCUUCGGACCUUGCGCUAAUAGAUGAGCCUAAGUCGGAUUAGCUAGUUGGUGGGGUAAAGGCCUACCAAGGCGACGAUCUGUAGCGGGUCUGAGAGGAUGAUCCGCCACACUGGGACUGAGACACGGCCCAGACUCCUACGGGAGGCAGCAGUGGGGAAUAUUGGACAAUGGGGGGAACCCUGAUCCAGCCAUGCCGCGUGUGUGAAGAAGGCCUUAU
RNAcentral lists this ribosomal RNA (419 nucleotides) under Acinetobacter baumannii. Its description in RNAcentral is "bacterial SSU rRNA". It matches the Rfam family "Bacterial small subunit ribosomal RNA", at positions 1 to 420 of the family's 1533-position model. The record is from RNAcentral. Lineage: Bacteria; Pseudomonadati; Pseudomonadota; Gammaproteobacteria; Moraxellales; Moraxellaceae.